CACUUAUCAAGAGAGACCGAGGGACAGGCCCUAUGACGUCCGGCAACCACCAGUUUUGGGAACGGUGCCACUUCCUGCAGAAUGGAUUCAUUCUGAAAGAUAAGUC
Regulatory RNA element from Bacillus sp. B-jedd, 106 nucleotides. It matches the Rfam family "SAM riboswitch aptamer (S box leader)". Rfam says of the family: The SAM riboswitch is found upstream of a number of genes which code for proteins involved in methionine or cysteine biosynthesis in Gram-positive bacteria. The SAM riboswitch acts at the level of transcription termination control. The predicted structure consists of a complex stem-loop region followed by a single stem loop terminator region. NCBI's taxonomy places the organism in Bacteria, Bacillati, Bacillota, Bacilli, Caryophanales, Bacillaceae. The record is from Rfam.